Molecule: transfer RNA, 72 nt
Filed under: Camelus bactrianus (Bactrian camel)
Lineage: Eukaryota; Metazoa; Chordata; Mammalia; Artiodactyla; Camelidae
Also listed under: 3 other names
Rfam family: tRNA
About the family: Transfer RNA (tRNA) molecules are approximately 80 nucleotides in length. Their secondary structure includes four short double-helical elements and three loops (D, anti-codon, and T loops).
Source: Rfam by way of RNAcentral
AGAGGUAUAGCUUAGUGGUAGACUGUAUGCUUAGCAUGCAUAAGGUCCUGGAUUCAAUUCCCAGUAGCUCCA